AGAGUUUGAUCAUGGCUCAGAUUGAACGCUGGCGGCAGGCUUAACACAUGCAAGUCGAGCGGUAACAUUUCUAGCUUGCUUCAAGAUGACGAGCGGCGGACGGGUGAGUAAUACUUAGGAAUCUACCUAGUAGUGGGGGAUAGCUCGGGGAAACUCGAAUUAAUACCGCAUACGACCUACGGGAGAAAGGGGGCAACUUGUUGCUCUCGCUAUUAGAUGAGCCUAAGUCGGAUUAGCUAGAUGGUGGGGUAAAGGCCUACCAUGGCGACGAUCUGUAGCUGGUCUGAGAGGAUGACCAGCCAGACUGGAACUGAGACACGGUCCAGACUCCUACGGGAGGCAGCAGUGAGGAAUCUUCCACAAUGGGCGAAAGCCUGAUGGAGCAACGCCGCGUGCAGGAUGAAGGCCUUCGGGUCGUAAACUGCUUUUAUUUGUGAAGAAUAUGACGGUAACAAAUGAAUAAGGAUCGGCUAACUACGUGCCAGCAGCCGCGGUCAUACGUAGGAUCCAAGCGUUAUCCGGAGUGACUGGGCGUAAAGAGUUGCGUAGGUGGUUAUAUAAGUGAAUAGUGAAAUCUGGCGGCUCAACCGUACAGGCUAUUAUUCAAACUGUAUAACUCGAGAAUGGUAGAGGUAACUGGAAUUUCUUGUGUAGGAGUGAAAUCCGUAGAUAUAAGAAGGAACACCAAUGGCGUAGGCAGGUUACUGGACCAUUUCUGACACUAAGGCACGAAAGCGUGGGGAGCGAACGGGAUUAGAUACCCCGGUAGUCCACGCUGUAAACGAUGGAUACUAGCUGUUGGAGGUAUCGACCCCUCCAGUAGCGAAGCUAACGCGUUAAGUAUCCCGCCUGUGGAGUACGGCCGCAAGGCUAAAACAUAAAGGAAUUGACGGGGACCCGCACAAGCGGUGGAUUGUGUUCUUUAAUUCGAUGAUAAACGAAGAACCUUACCAGGGUUUGACAUCCCUUGAAUUUUGUCGAAAGACGAGAGUGCUUUAUUGAACAAGGUGACAGGUGAUGCAUGGCCGUCGUCAGCUCGUGUCGUGAGAUGUUUGGUUAAGUCCAUCAACGAGCGCAACCCUUGUCUUCAGUUGGAUUUUUCUGAAGAGACUGCCCCGGCAACGGGGAGGAAGGAGGGGAUGAUGUCAGGUCAGUAUUUCCCUUACAUCCUGGGCUAGAAACGCAAUACAAUGGCAAGUACAAUGCGCAGCGAAGCGGCAACGUGAAGCAAAUCGCAUCAAAGCUUGUCCCAGUUCGGAUUAGAGGCUGAAACUCGCCUCUAUGAAGUCGGAAUCGCUAGUAAUCGCAGAUCAGCAAGCUGCGGUGAAUACGUUCCCGGGUCUUGUACACACCGCCCGUCAAACCAUGAAAGUGACCAACACCCGAAGUCCGAUUCGUCGGCCUAAGGUGGGGGGCAUGAUUGGGGUUAAGUCGUAACAA
Molecule: ribosomal RNA, 1440 nt
Filed under: uncultured bacterium
Lineage: Bacteria
Description: bacterial SSU rRNA
Rfam family: Bacterial small subunit ribosomal RNA
Source: RNAcentral